GCAAGUACAAUGAUAUAUGUUUCCGACUCCACUGUUAAAGGACAAAUGAUACAUGUAGUUAUUUUAAGACUUUGCGUAAAAUAUGUCUAAGAAAGAAGUGCAAGAUAUUGCUUUGUUCAAACACGAAUCAUAUACAUUUCCGCUAAAACUAUAAGUCUAGACUUCGUCUUGUUGUACAGGGUACAAUUGCCUUAUAUCUUUUAAAGAUAUGUUUUCCAUGGUUUUUUUUGUAAG
This 234-nucleotide long non-coding RNA is filed under the name Mytilus galloprovincialis (Mediterranean mussel). Lineage: Eukaryota; Metazoa; Mollusca; Bivalvia; Mytilida; Mytilidae. The record is from RNAcentral.